GUACCCACAAUAGAUGACUAUCAUUAAGAAACAUUUAUGUGGAGUAUUUGGCCAGUCCUUGUACUGAACAGCCUCACAGUUUGGUGAGAGAAAACAAAUCUGGAUAUGACAGUGUCAGAAACGGAUCUUCAAUCCAGUACUCCCUUCUCCUAUUCUUGUUUUUUAUUAGUGUACAUGCCAACAUUCCAGUCAUCUAAUCUUGAUUUCCUAGUCUAACUUCUGAUAAUAAACAUUGCUAUUCCAUGUUCCAUAAUUUGCUAGAAAUUGGAAAUUUUGCUUCUGUACUGCAGCUUGUAUUUAUCCCCUUACACACAUCUUCAUUGAUCCCUUUAUGCACAAGCUUGACCUUUGUUAAGUUUUCUGUCAGUUAUUGUAAUAAUUCCAAAUUGGUCCCUUCCCCAGGGAUUCUCUAUCACAUCUAUUCAAAACAUUUACCAUUCUGA
Molecule: long non-coding RNA, 443 nt
Filed under: Bos taurus (domestic cattle)
Lineage: Eukaryota; Metazoa; Chordata; Mammalia; Artiodactyla; Bovidae
Description: long non-coding RNA NONBTAT020507
Source: RNAcentral